UCCAGCAGUUCUUCUGUAGGAGGACUAUCACUCCCAAAAAAUGACGUCUUGAAGUAACAAUAAUGAUCCAUCGGUUGUCAUUUUCGCCACCAGGUGGCGUUUACCACGGCCGAGCGUCUGCUGUGUUUUCGAUGUGCUAGUGCAUUUUACUACAUUUUGCUAUUGAGGAAAUAUAUUUUUUAAAAUGGGUAAAUAGUUUUAUUUCCUUAGUUAAACCAAGCCGUCUUUUUGCUUGGAUCUAAAAAGAAAGUUCAAUAUCUUAUACGUGUCAUCAAACAAACUGUCGCCCUAGUAAAGUAAUAUAACAUAAUGCGAUGAAGGUUAAAGAGGUUUAAGCAAAGUCAAAAAUUUCCUACCGCUUCUAAUAUCUAAUGUUGUAUCUGCCUUAACUUCCAAGAGAUUUAAAGAAGUACGGACGAACGAAACGGGGAAAUUCCGGCAUAACAACACAACAACAACAUUUUUCCUUAUUAGGACUAUAUGCAGGAGCAUACCAAUUCCUUGGUCUGAAAUUGAAAUUCACACUUUGUAUGGUGCGAAAAACAGGGAAAGGGUAAGAAUAUUGAUCAUUAUGUCAUAAUGGAAAGGUAUAUCCACCGGGGAUGGUGAGAAACAUCAGGGUGCCACGAAAUUGUAUAAAAUUGUGCAACAGAGCCAACUAUAAUCAGUUGAGUGUCCAUCUACAACUUAACAAGAGAAUUUCAGUUGUUUACCAAUUACUGAAUUCUCUUGCUCGUUAACAUCAACAACUUCAGUUAGCCUUGCAACAAUAGGCAUCCAUGGCCUUACGCUUCUACUUACUAUUGCCCUUAUGACUGGGACAAGCAUAGGUGUGCCAAUGGGUUCACCGUCUUCUAGCUAUGGUGGUUAUUCAUACCAGAUAACCACUGCUGCGCCGUACUACACCACGAUGUAUUCGUUUCCUACUUACUACACCACGUAUGCAGUACCGACUUACUAUACGGAGGCCCCGAAAUACUACCCCGCGCCGAACUAUUACACAGAAGCGCCAGUGUAUUACAUUACAGCGUACGCUUCACCGUCUUACUACACUGAGGCCCCAAAAUAUUACGUAGCUCCAACCUACUUCACCGAAGCUGCCCCAUCUUACUACUCCUAGCCGACCAACUAUACUGAAGCCUCGAAGUACUACGCUGCCCCAAGUUACUACACCACGGCUGCUCCUUCAUAGUACAUGGAACCAGGUAAUAUGAAUCCUUUUGUUUUAUCAUUUGCAGUCCUCGUUUCAAAAUGAGUAUUUCCCUGUCAAAUAUUUAUGCGUUCACUAGUCGUCCCAUACGAAUGUGGUUUCUCAAUGAAAUGUUGAAUACAAAUAUAUAAUUAUCGACA
This is a long non-coding RNA of Daphnia magna, 1350 nucleotides long. RefSeq lists it as uncharacterized. The transcript is spliced from 2 exons. Lineage: Eukaryota; Metazoa; Arthropoda; Branchiopoda; Diplostraca; Daphniidae. The record is from RefSeq and is a predicted model, not a curated record.